GAUGAACGCUGGCGGCGUGCCUAAUACAUGCAAGUCGAGCGAACGGACGAGAAGCUUGCUUCUCUGAUGUUAGCGGCGGACGGGUGAGUAACACGUGGAUAACCUACCUAUAAGACUGGGAUAACUUCGGGAAACCGGAGCUAAUACCGGAUAAUAUUUUGAACCGCAUGGUUCAAAAGUGAAAGACGGUCUUGCUGUCACUUAUAGAUGGAUCCGCGCUGCAUUAGCUAGUUGGUAAGGUAACGGCUUACCAAGGCAACGAUGCAUAGCCGACCUGAGAGGGUGAUCGCCCACACUGGAACUGAGACACGUUCCAGACUCCUACGGGAGGCAGCAGUAGGGAAUCUUCCGCAAUGGGCGAAAGCCUGACGGAGCAACGCCGCGUGAGUGCUGAAGGUCUUCGGAUCGUAAAACUCUGUUAUUAGGGAAGAACAUAUGUGUAAGUAACUGUGCACAUCUUGACGGUACCUAAUCAGAAAGCCACGGCUAACUACGUG
Molecule: ribosomal RNA, 497 nt
Filed under: uncultured bacterium
Lineage: Bacteria
Description: partial 16S ribosomal RNA
Rfam family: Bacterial small subunit ribosomal RNA
Source: RNAcentral